Molecule: long non-coding RNA, 716 nt
Filed under: Rattus norvegicus (Norway rat)
Lineage: Eukaryota; Metazoa; Chordata; Mammalia; Rodentia; Muridae
Description: long non-coding RNA NONRATT026047
Source: RNAcentral
GAUGGUCUCGGGUACCAAUGUGUAUGGCAUCCUGCGGGCCCCACGUGCUGCCAGUACCGAGUCCCUGGUACUCACUGUACCCUGUGGUCCAGACACCACCAAUAGCCAGGCUGUGGGGUUGUUGUUGGCACUCGCUGCCCAUUUCCGAGGGCAGAUUUACUGGGCCAAAGAUAUAAUUUUCCUGGUAACAGAACAUGAUCUUCUGGGCACUGAGGCUUGGCUUGAGGCCUACCAUGACAUUAAUGUUACAGGCAUACAGUCAUCUCCCCUGCAGGGCAGGGCUGGUGCCAUCCAGGCCGCUGUGGCCCUGGAGCUGAGCAGUGAUGUAGUCACCAGCCUCGACGUGACCGUGGAGGGACUCAACGCUGCAGCCCCAGGACUGGACAUCACUGGAAGGGCCUCUGCAGGGCCUGCAGACACUGCUUCUCAUGGUGCUGCGGCAGGCCUCUGGCCGGCCCCAUGGCCCCCAUGGCCUCUUCCUGCGCUACGGAGUGGAGGCCCUAACCCUACGUGGCAUCAACAGCUUCCGCCAAUACAAGUAUGAUUUGGUGGCAGUGGGCAAGGCUCUGGAGGGCAUGUUCCGAAAGCUCAACCACCUCCUGGAGCGCUUGCACCAGUCGUUCUUCUUCUACCUACUGCCCGCCCUCUCCCGCUUCGUGUCCAUUGGACUCUACAUGCCCGCCACAGGCUUCCUGCUCCUGGUCCUUGGACUCAAG